RNAcentral lists this ribosomal RNA (404 nucleotides) under uncultured bacterium. Its description in RNAcentral is "bacterial SSU rRNA". It matches the Rfam family "Bacterial small subunit ribosomal RNA", at positions 358 to 773 of the family's 1533-position model. The record is from RNAcentral.
GGAAUAUUGCACAAUGGGCGCAAGCCUGAUGCAGCGACGCCGCGUGAGGGAUGAAGGCUUUCGAGUUGUAAACCUCUUUCAGUAGGGACGAAGCGAAAGUGACGGUACCUACAGAAGAAGCCCCGGCCAACUACGUGCCAGCAGCCGCGGUAAUACGUAGGGGGCGAGCGUUGUCCGGAUUUAUUGGGCGUAAAGAGCUCGUAGGCGGCUUGACAGGUCGGCCGUUAAAGUCCGAGGCUCAACCUCGGGAGGCCGGUCGAAACUGUCAUGGCUUGGGUCCGGUAGAGGAGAGUGGAAUUCCCGGUGUAGCGGUGAAAUGCGCAGAUAUCGGGAGGAACACCAGUAGCGAAGGCGGCUCUCUGGGCCGGUACCGACGCUGAGGAGCGAAAGCGUGGGGAGCAAAC